AUGCCUUGGUCUUUAUGAUCAAGGGUAUAAAAAGCAAAGUGAAACAACCUUUAUGCUUUUCAUUUUGCCAAGGUGCCACGAAAAGGACGAUUUAAAGAAGCUGAUCAAAACAAUAAUAAAAGAAAUCUCCAAUACUGGAUUGAUAGUUAUUGCCACUAUAUGUGACCAAUCAGCCACAAAUAUUUCUGUGAUAAAAGUCUUCAAGAAGACACAAAACGCAAAUAUUUACAAGAGGGUAAUGAAUAUAGGACCCAAGCCUUCGAGUUUGAAGACCAAAAGGUCUUCCCAUUAUUUGAUCCUCCACAUCUUUUAAAGGGAAUGAGAAAUAAUUUACUCGCCAAACAUUUGAAAUUUGUACAAGAUGGGAAAACAAAGUAUGCAAAGUGGGAACAUUUGGAGAUGCUGUUGAAGUUAGAUGUUGGGGAUGAUGAAAUUAGGCUUGUUAAUAAAUUAACAGAAAACCAUGUUAAUAAAGAGAAAAUUCCAAAAUGAAAGUGAAAUAUGCUGCACAAGUUUUCAGCCAAAGGGUAUCAUCAGCAUUGAGAUUCUUAGCAAAACACAACCUUCUUCCGGCGGAGUGCGAAGAAACUGCUGAUUUUCUACUCAUUA
Molecule: long non-coding RNA, 609 nt
Organism: Helicoverpa armigera (cotton bollworm)
Lineage: Eukaryota; Metazoa; Arthropoda; Insecta; Lepidoptera; Noctuidae
Exons: 2
Source: RefSeq, a predicted model, not a curated record